CUACGGGCCGCUCCAGUAAGGAAUAUUGCGCAAUGGAGGCAACUCUGACGCAGCCAUGCCGCGUGCAGGAAGAAGGCCUUAUGGGUCGUAAACUGCUUUUAUUUAGGAAUAAACCCCCGAACGUGUUCGGGGCUGAAGGUACUAAACGAAUAAGCACCGGCUAACUCCGGGCCAGCAGCCGCGGUAAUACGGAGGGUGCAAGCGUUAUCCGGAUUUAUUGGGUUUAAAGGGUGCGCAGGCGGGCUAUUAAGUCAGUGGUGAAAUCCCGGGGCUCAACUCCGGAACUGCCAUUGAUACUGAUCGUCUUGAGUUUGGUUGAAGUGGGCGGAAUGUAGCAUGUAGCGGUGAAAUGCAUAGAUAUGCUACAGAACACCAAUCGCGAAGGCAGCUCACUAAGCCAAAACUGACGCUCAUGCACGAAAGCGUGGGGAUCAAACAGGAUUAGAUACCCCAGUAGUC
RNAcentral lists this ribosomal RNA (459 nucleotides) under uncultured bacterium. Its description in RNAcentral is "partial 16S ribosomal RNA". It matches the Rfam family "Bacterial small subunit ribosomal RNA", at positions 339 to 795 of the family's 1533-position model. The record is from RNAcentral.